AUACGUAGGGUGCGAGCGUUGUCCGGAAUUACUGGGCGUAAAGAGCUCGUAGGUGGUUUGUCGCGUCGUCUGUGAAAUUCCGGGGCUUAACUCCGGGCGUGCAGGCGAUACGGGCAUAACUUGAGUACUGUAGGGGAGACUGAAAUUCCUGGUGUAGCGGUGAAAUGCGCAGAUAUCAAGAGGAACACCGGUGGCGAAGGCGGGUCUCUGGGCAGUGACUGACGCUGAGGAGCGAAAGCAUGGGUAGCGAACAGGAUUAGAUACCCUGGUAGUCCAUGCCGUAAACGGUGGGCGCUAGGUGUAGGGGUCUUCCACGACUUCUGUGCCGUAGCUAACGCAUUAAGCGCCCCGCCUGGGGAGUACGGCCGCAAGGCUAAAACUCAAAGGAAUUGACGGGG
This 398-nucleotide ribosomal RNA is filed under the name uncultured bacterium. RNAcentral's name for it is "partial 16S ribosomal RNA". It matches the Rfam family "Bacterial small subunit ribosomal RNA", at positions 523 to 918 of the family's 1533-position model. The record is from RNAcentral.